Long non-coding RNA from Hippocampus comes (tiger tail seahorse), 122 nucleotides. RefSeq lists it as uncharacterized. The transcript has 3 exons. The record is from RefSeq and is a predicted model, not a curated record. Lineage: Eukaryota; Metazoa; Chordata; Actinopteri; Syngnathiformes; Syngnathidae.
GAUAACCAAGGUUUUACUGUAGUUGUCUGUUUGCGUGUGUGUUGGGGAACGCACAUGUCAAUUAGUGUCGGGCAGGACACUUUUACAUUACAAUUGGUUCGUGCUCAUGAUCACCACUAGAU